RNAcentral lists this ribosomal RNA (450 nucleotides) under uncultured bacterium. RNAcentral's name for it is "bacterial SSU rRNA". It matches the Rfam family "Bacterial small subunit ribosomal RNA", at positions 354 to 796 of the family's 1533-position model. The record is from RNAcentral.
GUGGGGAAUUUUGGACAAUGGGGGCAACCCUGAUCCAGCCAUGCCGCGUGAGUGAAGAAGGCCUUCGGGUUGUAAAGCUCUUUCGGACAGAAAGAAAUCGCACGAUCUAAUACAUCGUGUGGAUGACGGUACUGUCAUAAGAAGCACCGGCUAACUACGUGCCAGCAGCCGCGGUAAUACGUAGGGUGCGAGCGUUAAUCGGAAUUACUGGGCGUAAAGCGUGCGCAGGCGGUUUUGAAAGACAGGCGUGAAAUCCCCGGGCUCAACCUGGGAACUGCGCUUGUGACUCCAAGACUAGAGUACGGCAGAGGGGGGUAGAAUUCCACGUGUAGCAGUGAAAUGCGUAGAGAUGUGGAGGAAUACCGAUGGCGAAGGCAGCCCCCUGGGCCAGUACUGACGCUCAUGCACGAAAGCGUGGGGAGCAAACAGGAUUAGAUACCCCAGUAGUCC